RNAcentral lists this ribosomal RNA (312 nucleotides) under uncultured bacterium. RNAcentral's name for it is "bacterial SSU rRNA". It matches the Rfam family "Bacterial small subunit ribosomal RNA", at positions 27 to 325 of the family's 1533-position model. The record is from RNAcentral.
GAAUCAACGCUAGGCGGCGUGCCUAACACAUGCAAGUCGAACGCGAAAGUCCCGCAAGGGAUAAGUAGAGUGGCAAACGGGCGAGUAACACGUGGGUGACCUGCCUUCGAGCGGGGGAUAACGUCCCGAAAGGGACGCUAAUACCGCAUGACAUCCUGCCUUUGAAGAGGCGGAGAUCAAAGCUGGGGAUCGCAAGACCCAGCACUCGAAGGAGGGGCCCGCGCCUGAUAGCUAGUUGGUGGGGUAACGCUCACCAAGGCAACGAUCAGUAGCCGGCCUGAGGAGGGCGGACGGCCACACUGGGACUGAGAC